CAGCAGCCGCGAGAAUACAGAGGGUGCGAGCGUUAAUCGGAUUUACUGGGCGUAAAGCGUGCGUAGGCGGCUUUUUAAGUCGGAUGUGAAAUCCCUGAGCUUAACUUAGGAAUUGCAUUCGAUACUGGGAAGCUAGAGUAUGGGAGAGGAUGGUAGAAUUCCAGGUGUAGCGGUGAAAUGCGUAGAGAUCUGGAGGAAUACCGAUGGCGAAGGCAGCCAUCUGGCCUAAUACUGACGCUGAGGUACGAAAGCAUGGGGAGCAAACAGGAUUAGAUACCCCUGUAGUCCCUGUCUCUUAUAC
This 301-nucleotide ribosomal RNA is filed under the name uncultured bacterium. RNAcentral's name for it is "partial 16S ribosomal RNA". It matches the Rfam family "Bacterial small subunit ribosomal RNA", at positions 509 to 807 of the family's 1533-position model. The record is from RNAcentral.